UGUCGCAGCAGAAACAGGAAGUUAAAAAAAAACAGCCGAUCAAAACACGGAAGUGGAGCUGCUUCAGUCAGCUCAGCGGGAAAGUGAAAGCAAAUCAGGCCGGAGCAGGAGGACGCACAGGUAAUGCUAAGGAAGUGUUAGCUUCACUACAACUGCUGAGGUCCAGAAACCGACUGCGAGAGAAAAAGACCAAGAAUCGCGACUGGAGCUAUUUCAGUCUCACAGCGAGCUCAGAGGAAUAGAGGCUUCCCUGGGACCACUCUCUCACUUUCUCUCUCAUCCCAGACUGCUACUCCCUUUCUCCAAUAUGAACCCUCCAGGAGCAUGCUGGGAUAGAUGCAACGAUGAUGAUGACCUGCCCCAGAUGGACGGCACAUGUGACGCAUGUGAACCAGACGAGCCGCAGCCGGCUAUGCAAAUGUGUGUUAUUUGCCGCUUUGCCUUCUGCAUGAUUCACGCCGAGAAACACACACGAAGCACCAGACAUCCACUUCAGCCCUACAGACCUCCAGAACCUGGAGCGAAUGCCAACGCCCACAUCAAUGCUCAACCCGAGGCACACGCAAACCGGAUGGAAGAGGCCGAGGCCGUGGCCGCUGGGGGUGGAGCUGUAGGGAUGGAGGGGCAGGAUGAGGAGCAGAGUGGGUGUGAAUCAGGAAAGAGAGACACAGUGACAGUAGAAAGACUGAGAUGUAAGGAACAUGGACAGGAGGGCUCGUUGUACUGCAAACAGGACGAAAAGAUUGUGUGUGUGUUGUGUGCUGUACAGGGAGAUCACCGAGAACACGAGAUCAUCACACUCCGGGAAGCCUACAUGUGGCAGAAGAGUAAAGAGGGCAUAGAUCUGCUGGCGUGUACUCAAGAAAUGUCCGAGAAGAUCAAGACCAAGUGGACCAGUCCAGAUAUGAGCCCAGAUGAGCUGGAGCGCUACGUCAACCAGCAGUUCGAUGAGUUACAGAAGCUGGUGCGUCAGGAGGAGUGGCGUGUGCUUCACCUGGUAGACCUGAAAGAGGCCUUUUUGACGGCGCAUGCUGCUGAGAAGAUUGCUGAGAUCAGCGUUCACACCGAGAAACUGCAGGAGGAAAUGGACUCCAUCACACAGCAGCUGGGUGAGCUUGACCACGCUGAGCAAAACGGUGUAGCCCCAGCCAACCUGGCACCUCUGCUGGCAGGACAACCCCGGCCGCCUGGUGCUGCAAUACUGGAACAAAGACCUCUGAGGUUGGGCUCGGCCCCUUUAGUUCCAGUGAAAGGAACUCUUAAUGCUUCAGCAUACCAAGACAUUUUGGACAAUUUCAUGCUCCCAACUUUGUGGGAACAGUUUGGGGAUGCUCCUGUUCCAACAUGACUGCACAUCAGUACACAAAGUUCCAUAAAGACAUGGAUAAGUGAGUUUGGUGUGGAGGAACGUCAGAGUCUUGACCUCAACCUGAUAGAAUGCCUUUGGGAUGAAUUUGAGUGGACACUGUGAGCCAAACCUUCUCGUCCAGCAUCAGUACCUGACCUCAAAAAAACGCUUCUAGAGGAAUGGUCAAAAUACCUUGUGGAAAGUCUUCCCAGAAGAGUUGAAGCUGCAAAGGGCGGGACAACUCCAUAUUACAUUCAUGUGCAUGUAAAGAUGGACCCUGAAGCCAGACCAAGACUACCUGCUCAGCAACGAGACCCUCAGGAUCCUAGAGACUAUGGAGAUGGAGAAGACUCAUCCAUGGGCCAUGCUCCAUAACAGCAUGAGUAAAGUCUGCAAUCUUCUGCCUUAUUGUAAUGAACUGGAACAUUUGAGUGGACUGUCUGUCUUUCUAGCUACUGAAACUUCCUUCCAGUAUCGACUUUCUGCUUGGAUUGUUGCCUUUUUCUCUUCCGUCUUUGCUGCUUGUCUUCUUCUGAAGAGGAGGAGGAAUUGAAUGGAGUUGAUUGCAAUCAGAGAGAGUCUUCAAAACCAGUCAGACACCAGGCUGAGGAUUUGCAGCUGAAGUACUCGAAAUGGAAGACGGGAAUGUAAACUGAUUCCAAUUUGCCUUCACUUUAUGAUUAUAGUGCUGGAUUUGUGGAAUAUGAAUACCCAACCUAGGUAGCAUUCAUUCUGUUUUAGCUUUACCCCAUUUCCUCUCUGUUUGUUUGUAUUUCUAUUCCCGCCUACCAGCUAUGUGACGGCUACCACCCAGGGACUAACACGUGCUUCCUCAGAGUCAUGUGAAGCCAGACACUGCAUCGUUUCGCCUGCUCAUGCAUCACGGGGCAGCGCAACACGCUCAGAGGAAAGUGUUAACUGCCCUCAGAUACGAGUUCACAUAUGCCCAUGAUUGGCCUCUCUGAACGACAUGGGAGAGACUAAUGCUAUCCCUCCCACCCAAAGAGCACACACAGUUUAGCUCUCUCGCUGUGGCACUGUCAUGAGUCAAACCCUGCAAUCUCCUGAUGAUCAGAGCCUUCCAGGAGCCAUAAAAUCUGUUAGAGGGUAAGAAAGGUUGGAAAUUGUUAUCUGUUGUUGGCCAUGUAUAGAUUUAACACUGCAACAUGCCUUAAAAACCAACAUCAGUUUGGUGAGUUCGAUGCAAGAGAAACAGAAAAGAGAGAGAAAAAUCAAGUAAAAAAAUAUA
This is an RNA transcript of Hemibagrus wyckioides, 2597 nucleotides long. It is a transcript of the gene named tripartite motif containing 44, with no coding region annotated. The record is from RefSeq and is a predicted model, not a curated record. The transcript has 7 exons. NCBI's taxonomy places the organism in Eukaryota, Metazoa, Chordata, Actinopteri, Siluriformes, Bagridae.